Pelobates cultripes (western spadefoot toad) is the source of this 243-nucleotide non-coding RNA. The record is from the annotation of a GenBank genome assembly. NCBI's taxonomy places the organism in Eukaryota, Metazoa, Chordata, Amphibia, Anura, Pelobatidae.
AACACCCCAAGCACCAGAAUUGUUUAUUGCAUGUAGUACGCUUUAAUAAAUUUACCAGAGUCCCGCUGUGAACCAUCAGCUACAUCCCCUGCAUCUGGUCUAAUCUGGACUGCUCUAUAGGCAAGGCCAUAAAGAACCAUGCUCAGGUGCCAAUAAAACGACCUGCAUCAGCUGUAUUGGUGAAGACCACAUUCAGGUGAUUUGAUCUCAGGCACCUGUCGGAAACCAAGUAAGUCUGAGAAC